UCUGCACAUAAUUAAAGCCCAUGUGACCAUUGUUUUGUCAAAUGGGUGUCGUCAUGUGGGACAUUAAUGUAAGAUAUUGCUAACACCAUUAGGAUGUGUAUUCAUUUUGUGAAUGGGGUUUGAUAGUAGACCUUACAACACUU
RNAcentral lists this small nucleolar RNA (143 nucleotides) under Mytilus galloprovincialis (Mediterranean mussel). Lineage: Eukaryota; Metazoa; Mollusca; Bivalvia; Mytilida; Mytilidae. The record is from RNAcentral.